Molecule: long non-coding RNA, 627 nt
Filed under: Dasypus novemcinctus (nine-banded armadillo)
Lineage: Eukaryota; Metazoa; Chordata; Mammalia; Cingulata; Dasypodidae
Description: lncRNA (ENSDNOG00000052435.1)
Source: RNAcentral
UCCCAAUGUGCACAAGCCUUCACACUGUUAGAAUUAUAUAGACCUGUGCUUUCUCUCACAAGUUUCUUUUGCAUCUUUGUACCCUUGGCAACUAACCAGCAUUUGGCACACAGGAGGUAGUCGGUAAGUGCUAAAUUAAAUGAUUCUAUGUUUAGUAAGGAAAAUCAGCGCCCUUAACAAUGACAGUGCAAUCAGAUGGCCAAAUAACUAGCAGUGGAUUUACAGAGUGCGGUCAGUACGUCCUGUCCGGUGGACGACGGGGCAGGAGAGGCCUAGGCUCCUGCGGGGGCUCGCAGGCGUGGAGGGUGCGCGGCGGAGAAACCACCACGGAGACGAGGCCUUGAAUUUUCCAAGCCCUGUGGUUGGGGAGAAUUGCUUUAGCCCUCUUCCAUGUGUGGAGCCUAAGUGCCUUGAGAUAAUUCUGCUCUUCCAGCACCUUGACUGCGACCGGUGGCUCAGGGACAAGCAUGUGGUCCAGAAGGCUGGACAAACGCCUCCACGCAGAGGAGCUCUGUGCACAGCCAGACAGAAACAAGCUCAUCAGGACAAAGUUCACCCUUCAGAGGGAACCCUACGUAUUUCAAAGUAAGACAAGAAAACAUCCAAUUUGUGGCAGAUGUAUUUGGG